Molecule: long non-coding RNA, 2669 nt
Organism: Diospyros lotus (date-plum)
Lineage: Eukaryota; Viridiplantae; Streptophyta; Magnoliopsida; Ericales; Ebenaceae
Exons: 3
Source: RefSeq, a predicted model, not a curated record
UUGAAGUUAGAACGCAACACAAGAGCAAGGCAACUUGAACCUCCUGCUGUGCAGAUCGGACCGGACGUCCACUUCCUGACCAAUCUAUAUCUGCAUCACGCCAUCAACUAUCUCUCACCGCUGAGCUCAACACCAAGGACGUCCACUUCCUCAUGGAGCUCAUCCAGGAACUUAGCCUUCUCAAAAACACAGCAAAAGGGCACGAUCACAUGUGCACAAGUGGAUAUUAUGCCACAACAAUCCAAUGUCAAAAGUUGGGAAAACCAACAAGACAGUCACAGUUUGUUUCUUGAUGCAAGUUAAUAUUUCCAAUGGCCUCAACAUCCAGCAAUAAGUCCUUUGAUGGGGAGAUUCAACUGCUUGAAAUGAAAAGGCAAAUGGCUAUGCCAGAAAUUCAAAUUCUAGAAGCCAAGCGAAGUAAAGGUAUAAAUUCCAACUCUAUACCAAGAGAGGCUAGUGAGCCCAAAAUCAGGUCUAAUGACAUCAGAAAUGCCCAAAGGCUUUAGGUGGUUAUUUCCCACCAAACAAUUAUAAAGAUGCAAUAGCAGCAUUAAACAAGCUAAUUCCACUAGCUGGUAACAGCAAAGGAAAAGCAAAAAUGGCCAAACCUCAAGGAGGUAAAAACUGGCUAAACCCCACUGGUUUAGUUAACAAUAGUCCGAAGCCCAUUGCUUAGGACAAAGCCAGUAGAGGCCCAAAACCCAAAGCUUUUGAGCCCAGGCCUUUCGCUAUUAUUGAUGAGUUACAAGCCCAACACUCAUUAAAAAUAGAAAAAACCAACCCAGUGAGGUUACGCCCACAAAAACCUAUUGAUCAAGAAAAAGAGUCAAACCAAAGCCUUGACCCCAAAAAGAUCAAACCAUGGAAGCCUUCAGCCCAAAGGCCUAUCACCAGAGAACAACUAGGUAUCCUUACCAAAGUCUUCAACCACAUUAGACAAGGUACUGGUCAACCUAACCCUGUUCGUGAAGUUGAAUAUGAAUUUCACAGACUCAACAAGCUUAUCAAAGCCUAGAACUUGGUUUCUAAGAGAGAAUAUUUUCUUGAACUCUCAGAAACAAUCUACAAUAAAGAGAUCGAUCUCACUUUGUUUGUUCUCGAUGUUGAGAUUAGAUACAACAUUUUUGUAGAAAAAAUAGUACCCUCAUUCUUCUCGAGGUACAAUCAUUGGUCACAGCUAUUUAAUUCCAUCAAUAGCAAACCUUGGACAAAAAUGUUAGCCGAGUGUUUUUCUGAAAACUCUGCAAAAAUAUUUUUUGAAAACGAUCAGAUUUGGGAUGGCAUAACCCGUUAUCGUUAGAUUUUAAUCUCCAAAUCAAUCAGCUCUAAAAUCUUCUUAGAAUUAUUCAAGGGAGGUUUUAUCAAUUCCAUCAUCCUCGAUGAACAUUCUUCCAAAAUGGCAAAAGAUAUCCCGCCAUUAAAAGAUUUCAUUGAAUUUCUUGUAUCCACUUAGAGUUACUGUCAAAUGGUAAAUCAAGGACAUUUUGGCAUUGAAGUAAUCUCUGCACCUCCGAGAUUUCAAGUCAAAAAUUGGAAGACAGUUAAUAACUUCCUUGAAUCCAAACCAACUAUCUUUCCAAGUAUUCAUAUACUGAGAGAGCAACAGGAUGUUAGAGUAAAAACCCAAUACUCUAUCAAAAUUGUUAUAGCAAGGAGUAACAAUGCCUUCGAUCGAGCAAACAAAUUGCAAAUUCUUGAAGACGUCAUCAACAAUCUCACUCAACAUUAUGUUUGGAGAGACUACAAAAGGAUCACAUGUAUGGAAGAAAGCAUCCAUAAUAGAUGCCACCUUGCCAUCAAGCUUUUCGAAGAUGACAACUAUAUGCAAAAGCAAAUUCCCUAUCUUCGAGUUGAAGACCUCGAUGCUUAUGAAAGCGACGUAGCAUCUGAAGCAAGCAAAGCAUCCAACUAGCCAUCAGAAGAUGAUAAUGGAAAAGAAGAGCAUCCACCGAAAAAGAAGGAAGCAUGUGAAGGUCCACAAAGGAUAAUAAUGUAGUCUCCACUAUGUAAGAUGCCAGCGAUCAUCAAGUUUUACGGGGCCCUCUCACUUUGAUGGCUCUUGUAUGUUUGAGUCUUUUGAGUUAGCAUAGACUAGUCCGGUCCCAAAGGCAGCCAAACAUAUGCUAUAAUGCUUUAGUUUGUUGGGUCACCUUUUGCUAAAGCAAAGAUGCCAUGCUUAGCAUCUAAGCAAAGCAGAAGGCCUUCUCCUCUAUACAAGGGGAAAUGAGUUAGUUUGGUUUCGGGAGAUAUCAGAAGCAUUAAGGAAACUACUCUUGGUGCACAAACAAGGUAUGAGUGAGUAGUCCUUUAGGGGCUCCAACGGGAGUUGAGAUGGGAUUGUAAACUACAAGCUCUAGUAUGUAAGUGCAAAACCAUUGUAGAAGGGGACUCUAGUGGGGCUCGAAGUUGAAUUUAGACGUGUAUAGAGAUCUCCCCCAACCUAAAGAUUUUGGGACUUGUGUAGAAGGCCUGUGUAGAAGGUUUUUUUUUUUUUUUUUGGUAUUGUAUUAGCGCCUUUGUACAUUUUUGAAAAGUGUAUGUCUUUUAAAGCCUUAAGAAUGAAUGUUGCUCCUGUGGAAAAUGAGCCAAUUUAUAACAUGGAAAUUUCUUUUUGAGAUGUUUAUUUCUGUAUCCCAUUUUGGAAUGAUCUUCUUUUGGAUGUUCCUAUG